AGCGAACGCUAGCGGCGGGCUUAACACAUGCAAGUCGAGCGCUUCACUUCGGUGAAGAGCGGCGGACGGGUGAGUAACACGUAGGUUACCUGCCCCUGGGUGAGGGACAACCGAGGGAAACCUCGGCUAAUACCACAUAUGGUCUACGGAUCAAAGGCUUCGGCCGCCCGGGGAUGGGCCUGCGUCCCAUUAUUUAAUCCUAGUUGGCGGGGUAACGGCCCACCAAGGGUACGAUGGGUAGCUGGUCUGAGAGGAUGAUCAGCCACACUGGAACUGAGACACGGUCCAGACUCCUACGGGAGGCAGCAGUGGGGAAUAUUGCGCAAUGGGCGAAAGCCUGACGCAGCCACGCCGCGUGAGUGAUGAAGGCCCCCAGGGGUCGUAAAGCUCUGUCGGGGGGGGAAGAGGUUCUGACGGUACCCCCCAACGAAAGACACCGGCGUAACUACCGCGCCAGCAGCCGCGGUAAU
RNAcentral lists this ribosomal RNA (470 nucleotides) under uncultured bacterium. Its description in RNAcentral is "bacterial SSU rRNA". It matches the Rfam family "Bacterial small subunit ribosomal RNA", at positions 29 to 524 of the family's 1533-position model. The record is from RNAcentral.